This 76-nucleotide microRNA precursor is filed under the name Pan paniscus (pygmy chimpanzee). RNAcentral describes it as "miRNA (ENSPPAG00000016841.1)". The record is from RNAcentral. Lineage: Eukaryota; Metazoa; Chordata; Mammalia; Primates; Hominidae.
UUAAGUGGCUGCAAAAGUAAUUGUGAUUUUUGCCAUUACUUUUAUGGCAAAACCCGCAAUUACUUUUGCACUAAAC